UAGAGUUUGAUCAUGGCUCAGGAUGAACGCUGGCGGCGUGCUUAACACAUGCAAGUCGAACGGAGAUUAUACGCAGAGGCGAUUUCGGUCAAAUCAUGUAAAAUCUUAGUGGCGGACGGGUGAGUAACGCGUGGGUAACCUGCCUUACACUGGGGGAUAACACUUAGAAAUAGGUGCUAAUACCGCAUAAGCGCACGAAGCCGCAUGGAUUUGUGUGAAAAACUCCGGUGGUGUAAGAUGGACCCGCGUCUGAUUAGCUGGUUGGCGGGGUAACGGCCCACCAAGGCGACGAUCAGUAGCCGGCCUGAGAGGGUGGACGGCCACAUUGGGACUGAGACACGGCCCAAACUCCUACGGGAGGCAGCAGUGGGGAAUAUUGGACAAUGGGGGGAACCCUGAUCCAGCGACGCCGCGUGAGUGAAGAAGUAUUUCGGUAUGUAAAGCUCUAUCAGCAGGGAAGAAAGAAAUGACGGUACCUGACUAAGAAGCCCCGGCUAACUACGUGCCAGCAGCCGCGGUAAUACGUAGGGGGCAAGCGUUAUCCGGAAUUACUGGGUGUAAAGGGAGCGUAGACGGUGAUGCAAGUCUGAAGUGAAAGGCGGGGGCUCAACCCCCGGACUGCUUUGGAAACUGUGUGACUGGAGUGCAGGAGAGGUAAGUGGAAUUCCUAGUGUAGCGGUGAAAUGC
This 687-nucleotide ribosomal RNA is filed under the name uncultured bacterium. Its description in RNAcentral is "bacterial SSU rRNA". It matches the Rfam family "Bacterial small subunit ribosomal RNA", at positions 1 to 689 of the family's 1533-position model. The record is from RNAcentral.